This is a long non-coding RNA of Papaver somniferum (opium poppy), 3902 nucleotides long. RefSeq lists it as uncharacterized. The transcript is spliced from 9 exons. Lineage: Eukaryota; Viridiplantae; Streptophyta; Magnoliopsida; Ranunculales; Papaveraceae. The record is from RefSeq and is a predicted model, not a curated record.
UCUACUUCUUCUUCUUCUUCCUUGUUCAGUCCCAUUAAACCCAUCUGUUUUCUCUCUCGGUUCCUUUUUAGGGUUUGAUGUCUUUUUCUUAGAUUGAGAUUUUUGAUUUGAUCUAUCAUUUCUUUUUGGCAUAUCUUAGAUUGAGAUUUUCUAGGGUUUGAUAUCUUUAUCUUAGAUUGAGAUUGAGAUUUCAUCUCCUAGCCAGAUUCAGCCACCCCAUGAUGAAGAAGAAGAGGAAGAAAAGGAUAAAAAGAUAGGGAUUUUGAUAAUUCUACUCGGUAUGUGCAGUCCCGGAAAUUCAAAUCCAAAAGUGGUGUAAAUAGACAAAGGAAGACCUUGUCAUUUCUAUACGUUAUUCAUUUGGUUAGAAUUGAAGCUGAAGAGGUUAGAAUUGAAGCUGCUUCGGGUAUCCAUGACUUUAAAGGAGCCGCUAGUGGAGAAAACAUCACCGGAAAACAUUUGAAAGGGAGAUCGUAGAGACAAACCUACGGCAUUAUGAUUUUUCUCUCACACAGCAGAAAUUUAUGGAUUCAUUAUUUUUUUUUGUACAUAACUAUUCUUUUUUCUUUCAAGAAUUAAAUGGUUCCCACUUUGUUCUGAUCUUUAGGAUCCAUUUGAUUCUGUAUAAAUGUUUCAUUCCUUGUUCAGCAGCAUCAUUUCUCAAUUUUAUAAUGUCUUGUACAACACAAGAAAAACUUGUGCUUGAAUGGGGUUAUUCCAGUAAGCACUGGGAGGUCAAAUUUCACCUGAUGAAGAAACUCCCCUGUAGCUCUGGCCCUCUGGGAACCUGUAUUAAGCAACUAUUGAUACAACAAGGCUGCUUGCUGUUGCUUUUUUGUGUGCUAAAUUUGAUUGGAAAACCCAUCACAUUAACAGGGCGUAGGCACUACAAAUUCUUUGAGGUUUGUUAUAGGAGCAGCAAAGAAACAACUAUAUGAGGACAAGUCCUCAAUUUUGGAUAACAGCAAUGACAAAUCUAAGACGAAUAUCGACAAGGUUAUGUCAAAUGCACUUCGGCAAGAAACAGGGAUUUCAGUUUGUUCAUGGAGUCACAAAUAGGAAAAAUGUGGGUGGAAAAUAGGUGGAACCUGAGGAAAAGAAAGAAAGGAGAAUCACUUAUUUUGUUAUUGGAGCCCUUUCUCGGAGAAGUUUCUCGGAGUUCUCUUACAAUGGAGGAGGAGGAAUAUGUGGCACUGAUGAAAGCAUUAGUUGCUGAGAUAGCUGGGAAUAGGACUAUUCCAUUUUGACAACAGUUACAGACCAUGCCCACUUGUUGAACUGUAUACUUGAACCACUAAGAAGAAGCUUUUGCAGAGAUUCAGUUGAUGGAUAAUAUUUGUUAUUAGAAGGUCAUGGCUAGAGCAGGUAGGCUUCGAGUCAUAUUUGUUCACUCGAGGAAAGAGAGAGUGAAAACUAAAAGAGGUUAGUGUAAGCCGUGAGAUUUUACAGACUGAAACGAGUCAUGAUAGGUGCAUUGAUCCGAAGGACUUGUUGCUGUAUCGUUAGCAGUUCAUCGUACCGGUAUGGCGAGAACUUACCGUUGUCUGGUUGAGGAACUUUCAGAUGAAGGGCAUGUAAAAGUGUUGAUUCUCACUGCAACCCUUGCGUGGGAUAUCAAUUUACCAGCUCACACACUUUGAUCAUCAAGGGUACUCGGAUUUACACUCAGAUGCUUGGUCGUGUAGGAAGGCCUCAGCAUGACACCUCCGGACAUGAGUGCUAAGAAGAAUGCAACUGGCUUUAGCUAUACAUACUGGAUACUUGUACGUCAUCAUGGUGAGGAAUCCAAGGACUUGUUGCUGUAUGGGUUAAUUCAUCGUGCCGGUAUGGCGAGAGCAAACCAUUGUCUGGUUGAGGAACUUUUAGAUGAAGGGCACAUACAAGUGUUGGUCUUCACUGCAACCCUUGGGUACCAGCCGACACUUCAAUCAUCAAGGGAAGGCCUCAGCAUGACACCUCCAGGGAGCGGAUUAUCAUAACAGGGCAUAGUGAGCUGUAGUAUUAUCUCUUGUCCAUGAAUAACCAACUGCCUGUAAGAAGUCAGUUUGUGUUGAAAUGGCUGGCCUGCUAAUGCUGAAAUUGUUGUUGGAACAGUUCAGAGUGCUAAAGAAGAACGCAACUGGCUUUAGCUAUACAUACCUGAUACUUACACGUAUGCAUGGGGAGAAAUCCAACAUUUUUUGGUUUGCAGCAGAUGUUGUGAGUAGAGACAUCACUCGGGAAGAAAGGAGGGCCGAUUUGUUUCAGAUUUGAAACUUAAAAUUUUGGAGUUUGGAAAGUUCUUUGUACAGCGAAAUUGAAAGUGGUGGAUUCGUGUUUGUUAUCAAGUUUUCUUCCAAUGGAGGAGGAGGAAUAUGCGGCACAGAUGAAAGCAGUACAGUAUAAAAGUUAAUGAGCUAAGAGGAGAUCAGUCCCUGACUUUCCACAAAUUGAUGACACACGAUAAUUGUUACGGCUCCUGAGAAGCGGGAUAUUACACUAGAAAUCGGGAGACCGAAGAUCCAUCUACUUCUCGAUAAUAGGGGGGAAUUCAUGCAAGUAUUGUUGCCAGAACAAUUAGACUAGUUGAGACUAUUAAGGAGCACAUUUGUCAGCUACAGUCCCCAAUUACAAAGAUAUGGCUUUAUUUUUUAGAGUUGGAUAGGACUGUUCCAUUUUGGCAACAGUUACAGACCAUGUCCACUUGCUCAACAGCAUACUGGGGAUCACUGAGAUAAAGCCUUUGCAGAGAUUCGGUUGAUGAAUUAUAUUUGUUAUGAGAAGAUCAUGGAUAGAGCAGAUUGGCUUCCGGUCAUAUUUGUUCAUUCGAGGAAAAUUAAGUGUAAACUGCACGUGCAAUACGAGACACUGCUCGUCGUUUCCCAAAAGAGGUUAGUGUAAGCUGUGAGAUUUUACAGACUGAAAUGGGUCAUGUUAGGUGCAAUGAUCCCCAAGGAUUUGUUGCUGUACGAGUUAGCAAUUCAUCGUGACGGUAUGGCGAGAACAGACCAUUGUCUGGUUGGGGAACUUUUAGAUGAAGGGCAGGUACAAGUAUUGGUUUACACUGCAACCUUGUGUUGGUUGUUAAUUUACCAGCCCACAGUUUGAUCAUCAAGGGCACUCAGAUUUACAAUCCUGAGCAACGAGCAUGGAAUGAAUUAAGUCCUUUAAGUGUCACUCAGAUGCUUGGCUGACACCUCCUGGGAAGGGAUUAUCAUAACAGGACAUAGUGAGCUGUAGUAUUAUCUCUUGCUCUGGGAAAUUGGCUGACCAGCUAAUGCUGAAAUUGUUCUGGGAACAGUUCAGAGUGCUAUAGAAGAAUGCAACUUGCGUAACUAUACAUACUUGUAGCACACAUGGUGAGGAAUCCCAGCUGAUGUUCUGAGUAGAGGCAUGACUUUGGAAGAAAGGAGGGUUGAUUUGAUCCAUUCUGCUGCAGAACAAUAAUAAUCUAGUGAAAUAUGAUCAGAAAAGUGGGUCUUUCCAGGUCACUGACCUUGGUCUGAUUAUUAGACAGCUAUAUAAGCCAUGGAACCAUAGUUAUUUACUAUGCUAAAGCCAUCAAUGGAUGAUACCAAGCUUUGUCGGGUGUUCUUUCUCAGCAAAGAAUUCAAAUAUGUGACAGUGAGACAAGACGAGAAGAUGAAACUUGCGAAGCGUUUAAACCUUGUACCCUGCGAAGGAAAGCUUGGAAAACCCAGUGCCAAAAUAUAUGCUUUGCUCGAAGGCUACAUUUCACAACUGAAGCUUGAAGGGCUCGCACUGGCUUCCAGUAUGGUGUUCUUCACUCAGGUAGCAGUGUAGAAUUUCUGUCUUUCAGCUUCAAUGUAAUCAUAAAUUUUGCUUUGAUGGUUUACUUGUGUAUAAGCUCAAAAGGAAGAAAAAAAUCAGUUGAUAAAUGAAUCCCGAUUUGUUGACCUUUA